This 262-nucleotide ribosomal RNA is filed under the name uncultured archaeon. RNAcentral describes it as "partial 16S ribosomal RNA". It matches the Rfam family "Archaeal small subunit ribosomal RNA", at positions 748 to 1009 of the family's 1478-position model. The record is from RNAcentral.
CAGCUGUAAACGAUGCAGACUAGGUGUUUGGACGGCCACGUGCCGUUCUAGUGCCGCAGGGAAGCUGUUAAGUCUGCCGCCUGGGGAGUACGAUCGCAAGAUUGAAACUUAAAGGAAUUGGCGGGGGGAGCACUACAACGGGUGGAGCCUGCGGUUUAAUUGGACUCAACGCCGGGAAGCUCACCGGAUAAGACAGCGGAAUGAUUGCCGGGCUGAAGACCCUGCAUGACCAGCUGAGAGGUGGUGCAUGGCGUAGUCGUGU